RNAcentral lists this ribosomal RNA (1399 nucleotides) under bacterium NLAE-zl-C557. RNAcentral describes it as "16S ribosomal RNA". It matches the Rfam family "Bacterial small subunit ribosomal RNA". The record is from RNAcentral.
AGUCGAGGGGCAGCAUUUCAGUUUGCUUGCAAACUGGAGAUGGCGACCGGCGCACGGGUGAGUAACACGCUAUCCAACCUGCCGAUAACUCGGGGAUAGCCUUUCGAAAGAAAGAUUAAUACCCGAUGGNAUAAUCAGACCGCAUGGUCUUNUUAUUAAAGAAUUUCGGUUAUCGAUGGGGAUGCGUUCCAUUAGGCAGUUGGUGAGGUAACGGCUCACCAAACCUUCGAUGGAUAGGGGUUCUGAGAGGAAGGUCCCCCACAUUGGAACUGAGACACGGUCCAAACUCNUACGGGAGGCAGCAGUGAGGAAUAUUGGUCAAUGGGCGCAGGCCUGAACCAGCCAAGUAGCGUGAAGGAUGACUGCCCUAUGGGUUGUAAACUUCUUUUAUAUGGGAAUAAAGUUUUCCACGUGUGGAAUUUUGUAUGUACCAUAUGAAUAAGGAUCGGCUAACUCCGUGCCAGCAGCCGCGGUAAUACGGAGGAUCCGAGCGUUAUCCGGAUUUAUUGGGUUUAAAGGGAGCGUAGGUGGACAGUUAAGUCAGUUGUGAAAAGUUUGCGGCUCAACCGUAAAAUUGCAGUUGAUACUGGCUGUCUUGAGUACAGUAGAGGUGGGCGGAAUUCGUGGUGUAGCGGUGAAAUGCUUAGAUAUCACGAAGAACUCCGAUUGCGAAGGCAGCUCACUGGACUGCAACUGACACUGAUGCUCGAAAGUGUGGGUAUCAAACAGGAUUAGAUACCCUGGUAGUCCACACAGUAAACGAUGAAUACUCGCUGUUUGCGAUAUACAGUAAGCGGCCAAGCGAAAGCAUUAAGUAUUCCACCUGGGGAGUACGCCGGCAACGGUGAAACUCAAAGGAAUUGACGGGGGCCCGCACAAGCGGAGGAACAUGUGGUUUAAUUCGAUGAUACGCGAGGAACCUUACCCGGGCUUAAAUUGCAUUUGAAUAUUUUGGAAACAGUAUAGCCGCAAGGCAAAUGUGAAGGUGCUGCAUGGUUGUCGUCAGCUCGGGCCGUGAGGUGUCGGCUUAAGUGCCAUAACGAGCCCAACCCUUAUCUUUAGUUACUAACAGGUCAUGCUGAGGACUCUAGAGAGACUGCCGUCGUAAGAUGUGAGGAAGGUGGGGAUGACGUCAAAUCAGCACGGCCCUUACGUCCGGGGCUACACACGUGUUACAAUGGGGGGUACAGAAGGCAGCUACCUGGUGACAGGAUGCUAAUCCCAAAAGCCUCUCUCAGUUCGGAUCGAAGUCUGCAACCCGACUUCGUGAAGCUGGAUUCGCUAGUAAUCGCGCAUCAGCCAUGGCGCGGUGAAUACGUUCCCGGGCCUUGUACACACCGCCCGUCAAGCCAUGAAAGCCGGGGGUACCUGAAGUACGUAACCGCAAGGAGCUCCUAGG